Molecule: ribosomal RNA, 253 nt
Filed under: uncultured bacterium
Lineage: Bacteria
Description: partial 16S ribosomal RNA
Rfam family: Bacterial small subunit ribosomal RNA
Source: RNAcentral
UACGUAGGGUGCAAGCGUUAAUCGGAAUUACUGGGCGUAAAGCGUGCGCAGGCGGCUUUGCAAGUCAGAUGUGAAAUCCCCGGGCUCAACCUGGGAACUGCAUCCGAAACUGCCUUGCUAGAGUAUGGGAGAGGGAAGUGGAAUUUCCGGUGUAGCGGUGAAAUGCGUAGAUAUCGGAAGGAACAUCAGUGGCGAAGGCGACUUCCUGGACCAAUACUGACGCUCAGGUGCGAAAGCGUGGGGAGCGAACAGG